UUNUUACCGGAGUACUAUGAAUACUGUAAAUUUAAAACUCAAAGAACUUGGCGGUGUUUUAGACCACUCAGGGGAACCUGUCUCGUAAUCGACAAUCCACGUUGUACCUGACCUUUCUUUGUUUUCAGUUUGUAUACCGUUGUCGUCAGGUAACUUUUUAGAAUGUAGAAGUUGGCUGGAAAAAUAAAUAAUUUAGUACGUCAAAUCAAGGUGCAGCUAACAGAAAGGGGAGGAUGGGUUACAAUUAUUUAUUUAUAAUUACGGAUUAUUAUGUUAAAGCGUAAGGAUAAGAAGGAGGACUUGAAAGUAAAUUAAAUUUAUAAGAAUAAAUUUGAAUAAGGCUCUGAAACGUGU
RNAcentral lists this ribosomal RNA (354 nucleotides) under Terebra funiculata. RNAcentral's name for it is "partial 12S ribosomal RNA". The record is from RNAcentral. Lineage: Eukaryota; Metazoa; Mollusca; Gastropoda; Neogastropoda; Terebridae.